This is a long non-coding RNA of Catharus ustulatus (Swainson's thrush), 585 nucleotides long. RefSeq lists it as uncharacterized. Lineage: Eukaryota; Metazoa; Chordata; Aves; Passeriformes; Turdidae. The record is from RefSeq and is a predicted model, not a curated record. The transcript is spliced from 3 exons.
GCUCGCUCUGAGGCGGAGAGCGGCGCGCGCCCCCCGGCCCCACCUUCCCCGCGCGGGCAGAGCGGCGCGAGGCGCCGAGCGCGGGAAGGCGGGCGCGAGACCCCUCAGCCCCUCACUGCCCUCAGCCCCUCACUGCCCUCAGCCCCUCACUCCUCUCGCUCCCCUCCGCCCCGCCACCUCCUUCCCUGCACACACUGCUCAUGGCGCUUCCCCAUCCUUUUGGGCUCCAGCGCUGCGAAUGCUGUCGUUUCCUCCUGUGGUGGCCGGGUUUGGGGGGCGUGUGGCACAUUCCUGGUGUUGGGGGCUGCAGGGACUCGGCUCUCUCGGGCCCGGGAGACAGGAGAAGCCCUCAGUUUGUUGAGUAGCGAAGGCAGGUAGCUCAGGAAGGAGAGUUCACGCUUGUCUCAAGCAGCUACCUGCCGCCCUGGGGACCUGGAGCAGUGGCCCAGGAGGUUGUGCUCAAGUGACAUUGAGGAGAAACAGUGCAAUUUUCCAGCUGUAUCCAACACCAUUAGGGAGCUUGUCCUGGAUCACAGGUUGCUUUAAGAGACAGAAGACAUCUGUGUUGAGUCAUGGAGGAGUUUA